Vigna angularis (adzuki bean) is the source of this 994-nucleotide long non-coding RNA. RefSeq lists it as uncharacterized. Lineage: Eukaryota; Viridiplantae; Streptophyta; Magnoliopsida; Fabales; Fabaceae. The transcript is spliced from 6 exons. The record is from RefSeq and is a predicted model, not a curated record.
ACUAGGCACGGAACCCUCGACCUCUCUCUUUCUCUCGAACCCUAAUUCUAACUUUAUUCCCUCCAACUUUUCAUUCCACCUCUCUUCUCUGUCGACCUCUCCUCUCGAGCCUUAAUUCUAUUUCACAUUUCUCUGCAACCUUCAUUCCAGCUCUCCUCUUCCUUUCAUUCUUCGUUCUUCUUGCAUAUAACUCUCACAUAAAGUUAUAAACACUGAAACAACGACCGCAAGUUUCACCAUCUUCACCCUCUUACUUUCCUUUUUCGUAGGGACACACAACACAAGCUUCUCUCGUUUUCAUUUUCAACCGCUCUCAGAACCCUCUAAAAGCAUCUCGGUUUUUUGAGGACAGGAAGGAAGAGAAGUGGGAAUGAAGGAAAUUUUGGGAUAAAAUCAAGGAGGAAGAAAAAGGUGGUGAUAAUAAGUUUAGAUGCAUUCAUGAGGGCAAGGUUAAGGAAAAAGACGCUGAAGGUGUCCAUGGCUCAACUUCUUCCAAGGACACUGCAUUUGACAACAAGGUUGUUGGUGUCAGUGCGUUUGCAGAUGCAGGAGCUCAUCCGAGGAUAUAUCUUUGGCCGAGAGGUCUUUCCUGCAGCUACAGAUUCACGCUACUUCCGUGACCUUGAAUUAUCAGCUAUUGGAUUCUCACCUAUGGCAAACACCCCUCUUCUACUCCAUGACCAUAAUGAGUAUUAUCAAUAUUUGGUCUGCAAGGUCUUGUAUACUUCUUGAUCCUCAUUGGUUGGAUUCUUGUUGCCGGCACAUUUAUACUUUGUGGUUUGGAGUGACCAAAUGCUACUUUAGAAUCUGUGGUACAACCCCUAAAUUUCAGUUUGAAGCAUCUGUGGUACAGCCCCUAAAGUUCAGUGUCGAUUAAUCUUAGUGGUUUGAAAAACCUUUUAUCAUUGUAAAUGGCUUUGACAUAGUGCCAGCCUAGAUUAAUAAAUUUGUUUAUUAUGAAUAUAUAUUAAAAUUGUGGGUGUUGAAUAGGUAA